RNAcentral lists this ribosomal RNA (468 nucleotides) under uncultured bacterium. Its description in RNAcentral is "partial 16S ribosomal RNA". It matches the Rfam family "Bacterial small subunit ribosomal RNA", at positions 28 to 507 of the family's 1533-position model. The record is from RNAcentral.
GACGAACGCUGGCGGCGUGCUUAACACAUGCAAGUCGAACGGAAAGGCCCUGCUUUUGUGGGGUGCUCGAGUGGCGAACGGGUGAGUAACACGUGAGUAACCUGCCCUUGACUUUGGGAUAACUUCAGGAAACUGGGGCUAAUACCGGAUAGGAGCUCCUGCUGCAUGGUGGGGGUUGGAAAGUUUCGGCGGUUGGGGAUGGACUCGCGGCUUAUCAGCUUGUUGGUGGGGUAGUGGCUUACCAAGGCUUUGACGGGUAGCCGGCCUGAGAGGGUGACCGGCCACAUUGGGACUGAGAUACGGCCCAGACUCCUACGGGAGGCAGCAGUGGGGAAUAUUGCACAAUGGGCGGAAGCCUGAUGCAGCAACGCCGCGUGUGGGAUGACGGCCUUCGGGUUGUAAACCGAUUUCGCCUGUGACGAAGCGUGAGUGACGGUAAUGGGUAAAGAAGCACCGGCUAACUACGUG